CCUACGGGGGGCAGCAGUGGGGAAUAUUGGACAAUGGGCGAAAGCCUGAUCCAGCCAUGCCGCGUGUGUGAAGAAGGCCUUCGGGUUGUAAAGCACUUUCAGUGGGGAAGAAAGCCUUGGGGCUAAUACCCUCGAGGAAGGACAUCACCCACAGAAGAAGCACCGGCUAACUCCGUGCCAGCAGCCGCGGUAAUACGGAGGGUGCGAGCGUUAAUCGGAAUUACUGGGCGUAAAGCGCGCGUAGGCGGUCUGAUAAGCCGGUUGUGAAAGCCCCGGGCUCAACCUGGGAACGGCAUCCGGAACUGUCAGGCUAGAGUGAAGGUGAGGAAGGUAGAAUUCCCGGUGUAGCGGUGAAAUGCGUAGAGAUCGGGAGGAAUACCAGUGGCGAAGGCGGCCUUCUGGACUGACACUGACGCUGAGGUGCGAAAGCGUGGGUAGCAAACAGGAUUAGAUACCCCUGUAGUC
RNAcentral lists this ribosomal RNA (465 nucleotides) under Vreelandella stevensii. RNAcentral's name for it is "partial 16S ribosomal RNA". It matches the Rfam family "Bacterial small subunit ribosomal RNA", at positions 338 to 795 of the family's 1533-position model. Lineage: Bacteria; Pseudomonadati; Pseudomonadota; Gammaproteobacteria; Oceanospirillales; Halomonadaceae. The record is from RNAcentral.